CCCGCACAAGCGGUGGAGCAUGUGGUUUAAUUCGAUGAUACGCGAGGAACCUUACCUGGGCUCAAAUGUAUGUUGACGUAUUCUGAAAGGGAUACUUCUUCGGACAAUAUACAAGGUGCUGCAUGGUUGUCGUCAGCUCGUGUCGUGAGAUGUUGGGUUAAGUCCCGCAACGAGCGCAACCCUUGCCUUUAGUUGCCAGCAGUUCGGCUGGGCACUCUAAAGGGACUGCCGGUGUUAAACCGGAGGAAGGUGGGGAUGACGUCAAGUCCUCAUGGCCUUUAUGACCAGGGCUACACACGUACUACAAUGGCCGAUACAAAGGGCAGCGACACUGCGAGGUGAAGCCAAUCCCGUAAAAUCGGUCUCAGUCCGGAUUGGAGUCUGCAACUCGACUCCAUGAAGUUGGAAUCGCUAGUAAUCGUGGAUCAGCAUGCCACGGUGAAUACGUUCCCGGGCCUU
This 459-nucleotide ribosomal RNA is filed under the name uncultured Desulfobulbus sp. RNAcentral's name for it is "bacterial SSU rRNA". It matches the Rfam family "Bacterial small subunit ribosomal RNA", at positions 920 to 1382 of the family's 1533-position model. Lineage: Bacteria; Pseudomonadati; Thermodesulfobacteriota; Desulfobulbia; Desulfobulbales; Desulfobulbaceae. The record is from RNAcentral.